This 253-nucleotide ribosomal RNA is filed under the name uncultured bacterium. Its description in RNAcentral is "partial 16S ribosomal RNA". It matches the Rfam family "Bacterial small subunit ribosomal RNA", at positions 524 to 776 of the family's 1533-position model. The record is from RNAcentral.
UACGUAGGGGGCAAGCGUUGUCCGGAAUUAUUGGGCGUAAAGAGCGUGUAGGCGGUCCGGUAAGUCAGCUGUGAAAGUCAAGGGCUCAACCCUUGAAAGCCGGUUGAUACUGUCGGGCUAGAGUCCGGAAGAGGCGAGUGGAAUUCCCGGUGUAGCGGUGAAAUGCGCAGAUAUCGGGAGGAACACCAAUGGCGAAGGCAGCUCGCUGGGACGGUACUGACGCUGAGGUGCGAGAGCGUGGGGAGCGAACCGG